RNAcentral lists this ribosomal RNA (40 nucleotides) under uncultured eukaryote. RNAcentral describes it as "partial Eukaryotic small subunit ribosomal RNA". The record is from RNAcentral.
ACCUGAUUGAUUCUGCCAGUAGCAUACGCUUGUCUCAAAG